AAGACUAUAGACCUGCGGAGUACCUGCGGAAGGAUCAUUACCGAGUUAGGGUUCCUCUCACGGGCCCGACCUCCCAACCCUGUGUCUAUCACACCUUGUCGUUGCUUCGGCGGACCGGUUUGACUCCGGUCGCGACCGCCGGGGGUGCUUCACCCCGGGAGGGCGUCCGCCGAUGGCCCAACCACAAAACUUCUUUGUACCAAAACCGGUCGUCUAAAUCAAACUUGAUCAUAAUCAAAA
RNAcentral lists this unclassified non-coding RNA (240 nucleotides) under soil metagenome. RNAcentral's name for it is "partial contains 5.8S ribosomal RNA, internal transcribed spacer 2, and large subunit ribosomal RNA". The record is from RNAcentral.